CCACUUGGAACAUUAAGUUCUUCCAUGCUUCAAUCCUUUGACUUACUUUCUUGCCAGUGAUACAAAAUGCCCACACUUUAAAAGAGGAGAAAGUUCUUUUUUUGUUUGUUUUACAGUUCAGAAGUUUAAGUCCAUGUUCAGCAGACUUAACUACAGAAACGGCACAGUAGAAGGGUCUGGGCAGAGAAAAGUUGCUUCCCUCCUGGGAGCCAGGAAGCAGAGAGCGGGAAGGAGCUGGGCGGGGAGAUCCUAACAGUGGGCCGCAGCGCCUGAGGCUCCAUUCCUCUUCCCAAAGCCCUGCCUGAGAGCACAGGAGGCUGUAGGGGGACAUUGAGAUAUAAACAAUAAUGUCCUGUUCUUUUCCCAACGUUUCCUUCUUCCAAAGAAGUAGACAAAAAGUAAAACAAACAAAAACCCAAAGCUCCACAGAUUUUUUAAAAAAUAGUUUUGAUGUCCUAAUGAAUAACCUGUUUCUUCUCUCCAAGAAAUAAUACAUCUGACAUUUUCCCACAUCCGUAUGGGAUAUGGAUGAUCACACUGUUGUCCUCAUCGUUAUCUUCCAUGCCUUCACUGUUUCCCUGUUGUGUUUAUGAGCAUAUGGACUUAUCUGUUGAUGGACCACUAGCUGUUGUUUACAAUUUGCUUCAGUGAAGGGAAGAGUGACCCAGUCUCAUGGAAGCAAUCCUUGGACCAUGGAACAGGAGUGGGCUCUUGCUGAAUAUUUAGUGCAGUGACUCUCAAACUUUUUGAAGCACAGCACACAGUAGAAAAUACUUUUUACAUUAGAUAAGACUGAUGUUCUUAUAAGAAAACUACCCCUUCUAUGUUCACACAAAGAAAAAGCCAUUGAAGACACAAAAAUAAAUGCCAGGACGUCUACAUGCCAGGAGGCUAAAUCAAUCCUGAC
This is a long non-coding RNA of Heterocephalus glaber (naked mole-rat), 907 nucleotides long. The record is from Ensembl. NCBI's taxonomy places the organism in Eukaryota, Metazoa, Chordata, Mammalia, Rodentia, Bathyergidae.